AGGGAAUAUUGCGCAAUGGGGGAAACCCUGACGCAGCGACGCCGCGUGAGUGAUGAAGGCCUUCGGGUCGUAAAGCUCUGUCGUAUGGGACUAACAAAAUGAAGGUACCAUGCAAGAAAGGAUCGGCUAACUUCGUGCCAGCAGCCGCGGUAAGACGAGGGAUCCUAGCGUUGUUCGGAAUUAUUGGGCGUAAAGCGGGUGUAGGCGGACUUAUAAGUCAGGUGUGAAAUCCCAGGGCUCAACCCUGGAAGUGCACUUGAUACUGUAAGUCUUGAAUGUGGUAGAGGUUACUGGAAUUCUUGGUGUAGUGGUGAAAUACGUAGAUAUCAAGAGGAACACCGGAGGCGAAGGCGGGUAACUGGGCCAACAUUGACGCUGAGACCCGAAAGCGUGGGGAUCAAACAGGA
RNAcentral lists this ribosomal RNA (407 nucleotides) under uncultured Bdellovibrio sp. RNAcentral's name for it is "bacterial SSU rRNA". It matches the Rfam family "Bacterial small subunit ribosomal RNA", at positions 356 to 777 of the family's 1533-position model. The record is from RNAcentral. Lineage: Bacteria; Pseudomonadati; Bdellovibrionota; Bdellovibrionia; Bdellovibrionales; Pseudobdellovibrionaceae.